UAUGUAGGUGGCCUUGUAAGUCGGAUGUGAAAUCCUUUGGCUUAACCAAAGAACUGCAUUCGAUACUGCUGGACUUGAGUUUCGAAGAGGAGAGUGGAAUUCCUAGUGUAAGAGUGAAAUCUGUAGAUAUUAGGAGGAACACCGAUGGCGAAAGCAACUCUCUGGUCGACAACUGACACUGAAAUACGAAAGCUAGGGGAGCAAACAGGAUUAGCUACCCUGGUAGUC
RNAcentral lists this ribosomal RNA (228 nucleotides) under uncultured bacterium. RNAcentral's name for it is "partial 16S ribosomal RNA". It matches the Rfam family "Bacterial small subunit ribosomal RNA", at positions 568 to 795 of the family's 1533-position model. The record is from RNAcentral.